This 21-nucleotide microRNA is filed under the name Schistosoma japonicum. RNAcentral's name for it is "miRNA-3085". Lineage: Eukaryota; Metazoa; Platyhelminthes; Trematoda; Strigeidida; Schistosomatidae. The record is from RNAcentral.
UCUGAGGGCGAAGUCGUACUU